UAUCGAACGAAUUUUCUACGAAUGAGAUACGAGCGGAACACGGCCGAAGAAACGUGCCGGAAAUUCUCUUCGUUUGUCAUCGGUCGGACUCCGAGUUCGUGUCGUGCGACUUGAUCAAGGGUAAGUGUAUGAUAUAUAAGAGACCAACGUCGGAAAGAUUUGCAUUUCCUUGUCGGAAGUAAGUUAAGAUGCCAUUUAUGUGUUCGAAAGUAAGGUACAAACGUAAUUUACAUUUAUAUUUUAGUGAUACAACGAGGAAUGCUGUAAAUAAACACAGAUAAGAUGCUUUUA
Molecule: long non-coding RNA, 291 nt
Organism: Vespula pensylvanica (western yellowjacket)
Lineage: Eukaryota; Metazoa; Arthropoda; Insecta; Hymenoptera; Vespidae
Exons: 2
Source: RefSeq, a predicted model, not a curated record